GAUGAACGCUGGCGGCGUGCCUAAUACAUGCAAGACGAGCGAACAGACGAGGAGCUUGCUCCUCUGACGUUAGCGGCGGACGGGUGAGUAACACGUGGAUAACCUACCUAUAAGACUGGGAUAACUUCGGGAAACCGGAGCUAAUACCGGAUAAUAUAUUGAACCGCAUGGUUCAAUAGUGAAAGACGGUUUUGCUGUCACUUAUAGAUGGAUCCGCGCCGCAUUAGCUAGUUGGUAAGGUAACGGCUUACCAAGGCGACGAUGCGUAGCCGACCUGAGAUGGUGAUCGGCCACACUGGAACUGAGACACGGUCCAGACUCCUACGGGAGGCAGCAGUAGGGAAUCUUCCGCAAAGGGCGAAAGCCUGACGGAGCAACGCCGCGUGAGUGAUGAAGGUCUUCGGAUCGUAAAACUCUGUUAUUAGGGAAGAACAAAUGUGUAAGUAACUAUGCACGUCUUGACGGUACCUAAUCAGAAAGCCACGGCUAACUACGUG
This 497-nucleotide ribosomal RNA is filed under the name uncultured bacterium. RNAcentral's name for it is "partial 16S ribosomal RNA". It matches the Rfam family "Bacterial small subunit ribosomal RNA", at positions 28 to 507 of the family's 1533-position model. The record is from RNAcentral.